RNAcentral lists this long non-coding RNA (411 nucleotides) under Equus caballus (horse). RNAcentral describes it as "lncRNA (ENSECAG00000057248.1)". The record is from RNAcentral. Lineage: Eukaryota; Metazoa; Chordata; Mammalia; Perissodactyla; Equidae.
GCGCGUCCCGGCCACCCCCGAACUGGCGGCACAGGCGAGGAAGUGGCGGGGACCCGAAGCCUAGAGUAACCCCCAGGAUCCAGACGGACCCAUCCAUCUACCGGAGGGGACUCCAAGCCCCCAGGGAGAGGCAGGAAUGGUCGAUGGGGAAACUGAGGCAACCAUUUGUCCAAGACCACUCAGUAAGCGAGUGGAGAUGCCAGGAUUCAAGCCCAGGGACUCCGACUCCAGAGGCAGCCUCGUGGUGAACAAUGGAGCAUCGGUGUGGAGGCAGGAGCAUGCCUGGGGCGACCUCCCGCGGGCCCUCCUAAAGGCCCCCACAGCGAGCUUUAGGUUUCCGAUGAGGAACAAAGGCACAGAGAAGUCAAGAAACUUGCCAAAGUCACACAGCUAGCAAGUGGUGGAAGAGCU